Molecule: ribosomal RNA, 403 nt
Filed under: bacterium
Lineage: Bacteria
Description: partial 16S ribosomal RNA
Rfam family: Bacterial small subunit ribosomal RNA
Source: RNAcentral
UGGGGAAUAUUGCACAAUGGGGGAAACCCUGAUGCAGCGACGCCGCGUGAACGAAGAAGGUAUUCGUAUCGUAAAGUUCUGUCCUAUGGGAAGAUAAUGACAGUACCAUAGAAGAAAGCUCCGGCUAAAUACGUGCCAGCAGCCGCGGUAAUACGUAUGGAGCGAGCGUUGUCCGGAAUUAUUGGGCGUAAAGGGUACGCAGGCGGUUUAAUAAGUCGAAUGUUAAAGAUCGGGGCUCAACCCCGUAAAGCAUUGGAAACUGAUAAACUUGAGUAGUGGAGAGGAAAGUGGAAUUCCUAGUGUAGUGGAGAAAUACGGAGAUAUUAGGAGGAAUACCAGUAGCGAAGGCGACUUUCUGGACACAAACUGACGCUGAGGUACGAAAGCGUGGGGAGCAAACAGG